This 1358-nucleotide ribosomal RNA is filed under the name uncultured bacterium. Its description in RNAcentral is "bacterial SSU rRNA". It matches the Rfam family "Bacterial small subunit ribosomal RNA", at positions 28 to 1381 of the family's 1533-position model. The record is from RNAcentral.
GAUGAACGCUAGCUACAGGCUUAACACAUGCAAGUCGAGGGGCAGCAUGGUCUUAGCUUGCUAAGGCCGAUGGCGACCGGCGCACGGGUGAGUAACACGUAUCCAACCUGCCGUCUACUCUUGGACAGCCUUCUGAAAGGAAGAUUAAUACAAGAUGGCAUCAUGAGUCCACAUGUUCACAUGAUUAAAGGUAUUCCGGUAGACGAUGGGGAUGCGUUCCAUUAGAUAGUAGGCGGGGUAACGGCCCACCUAGUCUUCGAUGGAUAGGGGUUCUGAGAGGAAGGUCCCCCACAUUGGAACUGAGACACGGUCCAAACUCCUACGGGAGGCAGCAGUGAGGAAUAUUGGUCAAUGGGCGAGAGCCUGAACCAGCCAAGUAGCGUGAAGGAUGACUGCCCUAUGGGUUGUAAACUUCUUUUAUAAAGGAAUAAAGUCGGGUAUGGAUACCCGUUUGCAUGUACUUUAUGAAUAAGGAUCGGCUAACUCCGUGCCAGCAGCCGCGGUAAUACGGAGGAUCCGAGCGUUAUCCGGAUUUAUUGGGUUUAAAGGGAGCGUAGAUGGAUGUUUAAGUCAGUUGUGAAAGUUUGCGGCUCAACCGUAAAAUUGCAGUUGAUACUGGAUAUCUUGAGUGCAGUUGAGGCAGGCGGAAUUCGUGGUGUAGCGGUGAAAUGCUUAGAUAUCACGAAGAACUCCGAUUGCGAAGGCAGCCUGCUAAGCUGCAACUGACAUUGAGGCUCGAAAGUGUGGGUAUCAAACAGGAUUAGAUACCCUGGUAGUCCACACGGUAAACGAUGAAUACUCGCUGUUUGCGAUAUACAGCAAGCGGCCAAGCGAAAGCGUUAAGUAUUCCACCUGGGGAGUACGCCGGCAACGGUGAAACUCAAAGGAAUUGACGGGGGCCCGCACAAGCGGAGGAACAUGUGGUUUAAUUCGAUGAUACGCGAGGAACCUUACCCGGGCUUAAAUUGCAGAUGAAUUACGGUGAAAGCCGUAAGCCGCAAAGCAUCUGUGAAGGUGCUGCAUGGUUGUCGUCAGCUCGUGCCGUGAGGUGUCGGCUUAAGUGCCAUAACGAGCGCAACCCUUGUUGUCAGUUACUAACAGGUUCCGCUGAGGACUCUGACAAGACUGCCAUCGUAAGAUGUGAGGAAGGUGGGGAUGACGUCAAAUCAGCACGGCCCUUACGUCCGGGGCUACACACGUGUUACAAUGGGGGGUACAGAGGGCCGCUACCACGCGAGUGGAUGCCAAUCCCAAAAACCUCUCUCAGUUCGGACUGGAGUCUGCAACCCGACUCCACGAAGCUGGAUUCGCUAGUAAUCGCGCAUCAGCCACGGCGCGGUGAAUACGUUCCCGGGCCU